This 465-nucleotide ribosomal RNA is filed under the name uncultured bacterium. Its description in RNAcentral is "partial 16S ribosomal RNA". It matches the Rfam family "Bacterial small subunit ribosomal RNA", at positions 338 to 795 of the family's 1533-position model. The record is from RNAcentral.
CCUACGGGGGGCAGCAGUAGGGAAUCUUCCACAAUGGACGAAAGUCUGAUGCAGCAACGCCGCGUGAGUGAAGAAGGGUUUCGGCUCGUAAAGCUCUGUUAGUAGUGAAGAACGGUAGAGGUAGUAACUGGCCUUGAUUUGACGGUACUUACUUAGGAAGUCACGGCUAACUCCGUGCCAGCAGCCGCGGUAAUACGGAGGUGGCAAGCGUUUUUCGGAUUUAUUGGGCGUAAAGCGCGUGCAGGCGGUUCAAUAAGUCUGAGGUGAAAGCCCUGGGCUCAACCGGUGAAUUGCAUUAGAAACUGGUGAACUUGAGUGUAGGAGCGGAGAGUGGAACUCCAGGUGUAGCGGGGGAAUGCGUAGAUAUAUGGAAGAACACCAGUGGCGAAGGCGGCUCUCUGGUCUGUAACUGACGCUGAGGCUCGAAAGCAUGGGUAGCGAACAGGAUUAGAUACCCUGGUAGUC